UACGUAGGGGGCAAGCGUUGUCCGGAAUCAUUGGGCGUAAAGAGCGUGUAGGCGGCCAGAUAGGUCCGCUGUGAAAACUCGGGGCUCAACUUCGAGCUGUCGGUGGAAACUAUUUGGCUAGAGUCCGGAAGAGGAGAGUGGAAUUCCUGGUGUAGCGGUGAAAUGCGCAGAUAUCAGGAAGAACACCCGUGGCGAAGGCGGCUCUCUGGGACGGUACUGACGCUGAGACGCGAAAGCGUGGGGAGCGAACAGG
This 253-nucleotide ribosomal RNA is filed under the name uncultured bacterium. Its description in RNAcentral is "partial 16S ribosomal RNA". It matches the Rfam family "Bacterial small subunit ribosomal RNA", at positions 524 to 776 of the family's 1533-position model. The record is from RNAcentral.